GUGGCAGCCGCCGCGGUAAUACGUAGGUGGCAAGCGUUAUCCGGAAUUAUUGGGCGUAAAGCGCGCGUAGGCGGUUCUUUAAGUCUGAUGUGAAAGCCCACGGCUCAACCGUGGAGGGUCAUUGGAAACUGGAAAACUUGAGUGCAGAAGAGGAAAGUGGAAUUCCAUGUGUAGCGGUGAAAUGCGCAGAGAUAUGGAGGAACACCAGUGGCGAAGGCGACUUUCUGGUCUGUAACUGACGCUGAGGAGCGAAAGCUAGGGGAGCAAACGGGAUUAGAUACCCUGGUAGUCCUAGCCGUAA
RNAcentral lists this ribosomal RNA (301 nucleotides) under uncultured bacterium. RNAcentral's name for it is "bacterial SSU rRNA". It matches the Rfam family "Bacterial small subunit ribosomal RNA", at positions 505 to 805 of the family's 1533-position model. The record is from RNAcentral.